CCUUAAGAUAGAAGAGGAGAAGGGUUAUAGGAGAAAGGGACUUGCCUUGUCUCAGGUAAGAUGAGACUUGCUCCUCCUUGCCUUUCACCAUGAUUGUGAGGUCACACCAGCCACAUGGAACUACAAACUGUCAGCAGUGUUUCCAUCUACACGAGUUAUUAAAAUAAAUGCUUUGGGCCAGGUGCAGUGACUGAUGCCUAUAAUCCCAGCAGUUAAGUCGGAGUAUCACUUGAGGCCAGGAGUUCAAGACCAGCCUGGGCAACAUAGUGAGAUCAUGUCUUUAAUAAAAAUAAAAAGAUUAGCCAGGCAUAGUGGUACAUGCCUAUAAUUCUAGCUACUUGAAAGGCUAAUAUGAGAGGAUCCCUUCACCAAAGUUUGAGGCUGCAGUAAGCUACGAUCAUGCCACUCCACUCCAGCCUGAACAACAGAGUGAGAUGCUGUAUAAAACAACAACAAUAACAAAAACCAGAAAAUGACAAAAAAAAAAAAAAAAAAGAGAGAGAGAGAGAGAGAGAGAAACACUUUACUCAGAUUCCUGAGCAGAAUUCAGGAAAACACUCUCAACAGAGACUUCAUGACUAAAACACCAAAAGCAUUGGCAAAAAAAGCCAAAAUAGACAAAUGGGACCUAAUUCAACUCCAGAGCUUCUGUACAGCAAAAGAAACAAUCAUUAGAGUGAACCAGCAACCAACAGGAUGGGAAAACCUUUUUGCAAUCUACCCAUCUGCCCAAGGGCUAAUAUCCAGAAUCUACAAAGAACUAAAACAGAUUUACAAGAAAGAAAACAAACAAGCCCAUCCAAAAGUGGACAAAGGAUAUGAACAGACACUUUUCAAAAGAAGACAUAUAUGAGGCCAACAAGCAUAUGAAAAAAUGCUCAUCAUCACUGGCCAUUAGAGAAAUGCAAAUCAAAACCACAUUGAGAUACCACCUCACUCCAGUUAGAAUGGUGAUCAUUAAAAAAUCUGGAGACAACAGAUGCUGGAGAGGAUGUGGAGAAAUAGGAACACCUUUACCCUGUUGGUGGGAGUGUAAAUUGGUUCAACCAUUGUGGAAGACAGUGUGGCACUUCCUCAAGGACCUAGAAAAAAAUCCAUUUGACCCAGCAAUCCCAUUACUGGAUAUAUAUAUCCAAGGGAUUAUAAAUCAUUCUAUUAUAAAGACACAUGCACACGUAUGUUCACAGUGACACUGUUUACAAUAGCAAAGACCUGGAACCAACCCAAAUGCCCAUUGACAAUAGACUGGACAAGAAAAAUGUGGCACAUAUACACCAUGGAAUACUAUGCGGCCAUAAAAAAUGAUGAGUUUGUGUCCUUUGUAGGGACAUGGAUGAAUCUGGAAACCAUAAUUCUCAGCAAACUAACACAAGAACAGAAAAUCAAACACCACAUGUUCUUACUCAGAAGUGGAUGCUGAACAAUGAGAACACAUGGACACAGGGAAGAGAGCAUCACACACUGGAGUCUGUUGA
Long non-coding RNA from Callithrix jacchus (white-tufted-ear marmoset), 1475 nucleotides. RefSeq lists it as uncharacterized. NCBI's taxonomy places the organism in Eukaryota, Metazoa, Chordata, Mammalia, Primates, Cebidae. The record is from RefSeq and is a predicted model, not a curated record.